UGGCGACCGGCGCACGGGUGAGUAACGCGUAUGCAACUUACCUAUCAGAGGGGGAUAACCCGGCGAAAGUCGGACUAAUACCGCAUGAAGCAGGGGUCCCGCAUGGGGAUAUUUGCUAAAGAUUCAUCGCUGAUAGAUAGGCAUGCGUUCCAUUAGGCAGUUGGCGGGGUAACGGCCCACCAAACCGACGAUGGAUAGGGGUUCUGAGAGGAAGGUCCCCCACAUUGGUACUGAGACACGGACCAAACUCCUACGGGAGGCAGCAGUGAGGAAUAUUGGUCAAUGGCCGAGAGGCUGAACCAGCCAAGUCGCGUGAGGGAUGAAGGUUCUAUGGAUCGUAAACCUCUUUUAUAAGGGAAUAAAGUGCGGGACGUGUCCCGUUUUGUAUGUACCUUAUGAAUAAGGAUCGGCUAACUCCGUGCCAGCAGCCGCGGUAAUACGGAGGAUCCGAGCGUUAUCCGGAUUUAUUGGGUUUAAAGGGUGCGUAGGCGGCCUUUUAAGUCAGCGGUGAAAGUCUGUGGCUCAACCAUAGAAUUGCCGUUGAAACUGGGGGGCUUGAGUAUGUUUGAGGCAGGCGGAAUGCGUGGUGUAGCGGUGAAAUGCAUAGAUAUCACGCAGAACCCCGAUUGCGAAGGCAGCCUGCCAAGCCAUUACUGACGCUGAU
Molecule: ribosomal RNA, 664 nt
Filed under: uncultured Bacteroidales bacterium
Lineage: Bacteria; Pseudomonadati; Bacteroidota; Bacteroidia; Bacteroidales
Description: bacterial SSU rRNA
Rfam family: Bacterial small subunit ribosomal RNA
Source: RNAcentral